RNAcentral lists this ribosomal RNA (498 nucleotides) under uncultured bacterium. RNAcentral describes it as "partial 16S ribosomal RNA". It matches the Rfam family "Bacterial small subunit ribosomal RNA", at positions 30 to 523 of the family's 1533-position model. The record is from RNAcentral.
ACUGAACGCUGGCGGCAUGCCUUACACAUGCAAGUCGAACGGUAACAGGUCUUCGGAUGCUGACGAGUGGCGAACGGGUGAGUAAUACAUCGGAACGUGCCUAGUAGUGGGGGAUAACUACUCGAAAGAGUGGCUAAUACCGCAUGAGAUCUACGGAUGAAAGAAGGGGAUCGCAAGACCUUGUGCUACUAGAGCGGCCGAUGGCAGAUUAGGUAGUUGGUGGGAUAAAAGCUUACCAAGACGACGAUCUGUAGCUGGUCUGAGAGGACGAUCAGCCACACUGGGACUGAGACACGGCCCAGACUCCUACGGGAGGCAGCAGUGGGGAAUUUUGGACAAUGGGCGCAAGCCUGAUCCAGCAAUGCCGCGUGCAGGAUGAAGGCCUUCGGGUUGUAAACUGCUUUUGUACGGAACGAAAAGCCCUGGGUUAAUACCCUGGGGUCAUGACGGUACCGUAAGAAUAAGCACCGGCUAACUACGUGCCAGCAGCCGCGGUAA